RNA transcript from Populus euphratica (Euphrates poplar), 1250 nucleotides. It is a transcript of the gene named thioredoxin-like, with no coding region annotated. The record is from RefSeq and is a predicted model, not a curated record. Lineage: Eukaryota; Viridiplantae; Streptophyta; Magnoliopsida; Malpighiales; Salicaceae. The transcript has 4 exons.
CUUCACCAAGAUCUCUCUACAUCAUCAUCAUCACCCAUCUCUCUCCGUCACUCUCUCCAUCACUCACUGGUCUUCUUCAAUUCUCUCGAUCUCUGGAGACCUAAUCCCGAGCUGAUAAUACGAUUCUCUACAUGGCCACUGUACUUGAGUCCCUGACCGUUCCUUCUCGCUCUUCUGCUGUCUUGCCUAAACCUACUACGACGCUUGUCACUGCUUUUGCUUCAACAAUUAAUCGGAGAUCGCUUCGCUUCCCACAACUCAAAGGCCUUAAGAUUCACUUUCAUUCUUCAUCGACUGUAAAUCGCUCUCUCGGAUCUGUGAGUCAGAGUAGUUCUAGACUCGCUUGUGCUGGAAGGAUCGUUUGUGAAGCGCAGGACAUUGCUGUUAAAGUGCCCGCUGUUACUGAUGCAACAUGGAAGUCACUCGUGCUGGAAUCGGAAUCCCCUGUUCUGGUUGAAUUCUGGGCUCCAUGGUGUGGUCCGUGCCGGAUGAUUCACCCUGUAAUUGAUGAACUGGCAAUUCAAUAUGCUGGAAAGCUCAAGUGCUACAAGCUUAAUACCGACGAUUGCUCUUCAAUUGCAACUGAGUAUGGGAUUCGAAGCAUUCCCACUGUUAUUAUCUUUAAAAAUGGUGAGAAGAAAGAGGCGAUUAUUGGUGCUGUUCCCCAAACUACCUUAACCACCAGUAUCGAGAAAUUCUUGUAACGCAGGUGCUGAGGAAACCAAUAUGACUGAAAUGAUUUUUAGUCAUCUCCUAUGACACUCAUACAGAGAAAUAUAUGUACAAGAUUUGCAUGAGUCGACCAAAUUUUUUGAAACCAGCCUGGUGGUAGAUACCAUUUACUGAAUCAAAAUGCUCGGCUAGAGAUCUUGGGGAGCUGGAGCCAAUGACUCAAUAGGAAAGGACUUCAGAGGAGUUCUGGUUACUGCACAAAUGACGAAUAGCAGAAUCAUGUCUCCAGGGUGCGCAAUCAUCAGAUUUUCUGGGGUCUUUUUAUACGAUCACCAUGGAAAAUCGGUGCGGUGCUGUAGUGAGGUGAACGAGAAGGGACCAUCUGAAAUGUUCAUUCUAGCAUGAGUUUAUGUAUCGACUCUGCAUGGCAAUACAAGACCUUGUUCUCUCCCUUGUCCAGUAAUGCUCAUAUAAAUGGUCUGAUAGGACGAAGAGUACUCAUUUAAGAAGGUUCUUGUCUCUGCCUUGCAAGUUUUGGACUUUUGAAUGGAUUUUUAUUUCCGUUGCCCACUGUAAAA